This 73-nucleotide transfer RNA is filed under the name Heterocephalus glaber (naked mole-rat). It matches the Rfam family "tRNA". From Rfam's summary of the family: Transfer RNA (tRNA) molecules are approximately 80 nucleotides in length. Their secondary structure includes four short double-helical elements and three loops (D, anti-codon, and T loops). Further hydrogen bonds mediate the characteristic L-shaped molecular structure. tRNAs have two regions of fundamental functional importance: the anti-codon, which is responsible for specific mRNA codon recognition, and the 3' end, to which the tRNAs corresponding amino acid is attached (by aminoacyl-tRNA synthetases). tRNAs cope with the degeneracy of the genetic code in two manners: having more than one tRNA (with a specific anti-codon) for a particular amino acid; and 'wobble' base-pairing, i.e. permitting non-standard base-pairing at the 3rd anti-codon position. Lineage: Eukaryota; Metazoa; Chordata; Mammalia; Rodentia; Bathyergidae. The record is from Rfam by way of RNAcentral.
GGGGAUUUAGCUCAGUGGUGACAGCGCCUGCCUUACAAGCGCAAGAUUCUGAGUUCGAUCCCUGGUAACCCCC